RNAcentral lists this ribosomal RNA (449 nucleotides) under uncultured organism. Its description in RNAcentral is "partial 16S ribosomal RNA". It matches the Rfam family "Bacterial small subunit ribosomal RNA", at positions 331 to 797 of the family's 1533-position model. The record is from RNAcentral.
GUACACUCCUACGGGAGGCAGCAGUGGGGAAUAUUGGACAAUGGGCGCAAGCCUGAUCCAGCCAUGCCGCGUGAGUGAUGAAGGCCCUAGGGUUGUAAAGCUCUUUCACCGGUGAAGAUAAUGACGGUAACCGGAGAAGAAGCCCCGGCUAACUUCGUGCCAGCAGCCGCGGUAAUACGAAGGGGGCUAGCGUUGUUCGGAUUUACUGGGCGUAAAGCGCACGUAGGCGGACUAUUAAGUCAGGGGUGAAAUCCCGGGGCUCAACCCCGGAACUGCCUUUGAUACUGGUAGUCUUGAGUGCGAGAGAGGUGAGUGGAAUUCCGAGUGUAGAGGUGAAAUUCGUAGAUAUUCGGAGGAACACCAGUGGCGAAGGCGGCUCACUGGCUCGAUACUGACGCUGAGGUGCGAAAGCGUGGGGAGCAAACAGGAUUAGAUACCCGAGUAGUCCC